GAAGAAAAACUAUCUACAAACACUAUAAAAUUGAUAAAAUUAGGUUUUCAGGUAAAAUAUACGUUAAAGUUUAAAUGACACGUAGCACAGCUGGUUCAAGUGAGGCGUGCAGUCACCUGCCUAAGUUUAUCUCAGCCUGGCUCGAAAUGUGUCGGAAAAAGAGAAAAUCUUCUUGUCGAGGAAAGUUUUGAGGCUACAAAAGGCACAAAUGUAAGAGAGAUUGAUUAGAAACUGACUGGUUAUCUCAGUCUGGCUUGAAAUGUGUUGGAAAAAGAGAAAACCUUCUUGUCGAGGAAAGGUGUUAAGUUUACAAAAGACACAAAUAUUAGAAAGAUUGAUUAGAAACUAACUCACAAUUCGGUACACAACUGAGUGUCUAUCGUGUGGAUAUCGCACCAUAUGGAUACUUGUUGAUAGACUUGACAGGUAUGGUUACUCUGGGCUUUCAACGAGCUGUUCAGUGACUGCAGACAGUGUCCGGCGUACAGUCUAUCGUCUGUGUUUUAGUAUAUGCCCACAGUUUGGCCUCACUCACGGUGUGUAGCUGGCAAUUUAACGUGGGCUCUGAGGUAUCAAACUGCGAAGGAAACAACGAAGCUGUGAGAUGUUUAGAACGGAAAAAGGUGAGGAAAACCAGCCGGAGCUCUAUUCAGAUACUUUUAUCCUCAUAGAGCACCCUAAAAACCACCGGCCACGCAUGUUAGUCGCAGUCAAUUUAGGUACCCUUACUUUGAUUAUUAUAGACAAAAUGAUAUGCGAUACCUCCGCAUUGCAAGUUACCGUUUUUAAAGUUAGAAAGCAAGAGUGUGAUGUUUGUUUUGCAAAAACCAGGAAACGAAAGACAAUCUUACAGGUGUGGGGUUUCAGUGCACAGGCAUUAUAGUUCUUGGAUUCGAGUUGAUGUUGCCCGAUUUACUCAACGAAACGCAAUACUGUUAAUCAAAUUACAAGCGUUUCAGAUAUGGCGUUUAUUAGCAGAGCAAAGCAGAUACGGUCAAACACUGGUAAAUGUCAUGUAAAACUUAAACACGACUUAACUUCCAAUGUCGCAAUUUUUCGCUGGGAUACACUCUAGUUAAUUGACCUGCUUGUCAUAUGCACAACUAGACUCCAACUAGCGUUUACUCGGGCUACUCAUGUGUAACAUGAAAAGAGCAUUUGGCCCAAAUCUUGCAGUAUUACCUUGAGAAUAUACAGCAGAGAUUGCUUUGUUGGAAUCAAUCACCGUUUAAGGGCCAGGAUUUCUUUCUUCAACUCUGCUUAGGAUAAACUUCGGUGAAUGGUUCUGUGAUUGAGAGUCCUGUAGACAUGGGAUAAACUGCGAGCAGCAUUUUUGUGAACUUGGAUUUGUCAAGAAUGGAGGAUGAUAAAUAAACUUGGCAUUCUUUGCCCCUUUACUAAAUAUAAAAAGUGAAUGUCUUAACCGUAGUUUCCUCUGUCUGGGUAAAGCAAUAACAGAAGCUAGGUUUCUCUUAUACUUUUGAUGAUAACUUUUGGGAUACUUUACUUAGUCGUGGUCAAAAUUACAUUUACUGACAAAGCAAUGUAUUCUAGAUGACAUAGGCACAUUUUUCACGACAACUUACUCACGAACCUUUAUCUCUUUUUCUGCCUUUGUGCAAAAGACGUGUAAGUGGUUUGACUGAGACUCUACUUGGUUCUCUAUCACGCUACAUGAUAGCGAGUCCUGCUUUCCUCCAAUCAACGUGACUCUUUAUUAGAAUGAAAACAUCGUGAAGAAGAACAAUGCAAGAAAAAAGAAACUAAUCGUUAUUGCCACUGACAUAAGUCCAAGGCUUCUUGAUUCUGUUGAUGCAAUAAAUGUCAGCUUGAAAGAUUUCAACAGGGCGUCCAUGUUGCUUUUAUUUCUUGGACGCUGUCAUGCUUGUAGAGGAAUACGGCAGACCGUCACGCAACUCCGGCUUACACACUUUGAAAAUUGUCGAUAGAUAGAUAGAUUGAUAGGAAACCGAAACCUGGACUCGGCCUACCUCUGUAGCCCGAGUAAAAAGGUUGGUGUAUAGGCCGAUUUGUGACUCAUGUCAGGUACGACACUUUCUAUUGCUUGUCGACCUUGCCAUCCUCGAAUAACGCCUUCCUUUAGCCUCGAUAUGAUGACGUUCGGGAUAUUUCCGAGAAUAAUAAUAGUAAUAAUAAUAUUUCCGAGAAACCAUCCAUGACGACAUUUUUACAUCUGAAUGAAGGAAUGACGAAGGAAUGGCGAGGUGAAAGCGGAAUUUACAUUUACUGCGAGCUUGUUUGACUGAAACAUUUCUCAAGAAUUUGCUGCAAAUUCGCAGCCUUCGCUUCACAUUCCUGCUUCACACGGAAAAGCGGAAACUGACGCGAAAGCGAAAGUACAAGACGUUGUCGGUUCAGAAUCGAUUUUGUCGAUUGAUGAUGGCCUUAAAGAUGUAUCCAACGAAGUGUUUACCUCAUCUAGAUGCAAAAUUGCUUCAUGAGAUGUAAUCCACCAGACCAAAUCAUCCCUAAUAGGCCUAGAGGAAUGCAGAUCAUGAAGGACACAGGUCGCAGCAAGACCUCCAAGUUAUGGACGCCCGCAGGACACCCAGGAAGCGUGACUUGCGUGACUCAUGCUAUGUUUUUGUAGUCUCGC
This 2617-nucleotide long non-coding RNA is filed under the name Stylophora pistillata. RNAcentral's name for it is "uncharacterized LOC111323313". Lineage: Eukaryota; Metazoa; Cnidaria; Anthozoa; Scleractinia; Pocilloporidae. The record is from RNAcentral.